UUUUUCUUUGUUUACUCCUUUAGUCACUUUGUGAGAAAGGGUUUGUAGGAGAUAAUUCUAUGAGACUUUGCAUGUCUAAAAUGUGUUUAGCCUACAUUCAAGCUUAAAUCAUAAAACUAGGUAUAGAAUUCUAGACUAGAACUGUCAGAAUGUUGAAAGCACCGUUACUUCUCUGUCUUCUAGCUUCUAGUAUUACUAGUCCUCUAAUUUUUCUUUUCUAUUUUCUGUUUCUUUCUGCCCUAUGUUACAGGAAAUUGAAUAGAAGGUUCUAACCCUUCAGUUAAACAUUUCAUUUCUAUUAUAUUUUUAUUUUUCCAAGUACUCCUUUUUGUUAAAUAUUCCUUUUAUUUUGGAACAUUAAGUUCUCAUUUCAUGACUGUAGUAACUUCUUGAAUCGCUGAGGAUAGCAGUUAUUUUAAGUUUUUAAGUAGUCUGUUUUAUCCAAGUGUUUUACCCUAUUUAUUUGUAUGGGUCUCUGUUUUUCAUUUCUCAGAUGUCUAGUGUUCCUAGGUAAAUCUAGCUGGAAACUUUGAUGCCACAGGUGAAGCUUGUUGCAAGCUCAGUUUCACUAUAACCUAAUAAGGGUUUCAGGUCCUUUUUCUUGGUUGGUAAGAGUCCGCAAAGACGAAUCUUCUAAUACUCUGCCUGGAGCAUAAAGGCCUGUUUGUCUUCAUUUGAAAACCCAGUAGGGAAAAAGAUCUAGAGGUCUCAUUUUCAGUAUGUACAUGUUCAUUUAAUUCCUCUGUUUUUCAGAAUGGUAUAUCUUCUCUCAAAUUAGGAAAGCAGUGCUACAUAGUCUGGACUAUUUUCUCUUUCCCAUGAGUAAAUUUCUAGUUUUGAAAUGGAUAGAGAAGAGGCAGUUGUCUCGUUGUACGAUAUCACAAAGGGAAUAUAACAGCAUCCUUUUCCUUUUUUCUAGGAGAUUUAAAAUUGAUAUAAUGCUAUUAUUUAAUAAGGUUCCUCUUCAAACUUCACCAGUUACCUCAAUACUUUUCCUUACAGCAAAGUUUUUUCUCCAAUCUAGGAUAACAUGUUACAUUUAGCUGUCAUGUAUCAGUCCUUUUUAAUCAUUCAUGUCACUGACAUGACAAGCCUGGUGUUUUAUGAAAUGAGAGUCUCCCAAUUUAGGAUUUCCAGUUGUUUCUUUCCGGUUUUUUUCCUUCUGGUUAGAUUAAGGUUAUGAAUUAUUAGCAAGAAUACUAUAAGAGGAGAGGGGAGCAAGAGGUCCAAAUAGAAGCCUCCAUUAAUCAUCCUCACUGCAGGAACACCAAAUUGAAAAACUAUUCACACCAAAAAAGCACCUUCAUAAGAAUCAAAAAUCAUCUUAGGCAGCAGUUCAGCCACAGUCAGGUAGAGCAUCAAGCGGUCUCCUGGGGUCCUUGAUUCUAGGCCUUGGCUCUUGGAAAGUAAUGUUGGACCUGCCCUGGGCCAGAAGAAAGCCCACUGCCCUGAAGGGAGAGUCCUAGGCCUGGCAGCAUCCACCACAAACUGAUGGAAGAACCCUCUUGGGCCUUAAAUAAACAUCAGCAGUAGCCUGGCAGUACUCGCCAUGAGCCUGGGGUGGUGGUGGCCAUGGGGAGAACUCCUUAGCUUGUGGAAAGGGGAGAGAAGAGUGGGAAGAACUUCCUCUUCUGGCUCCGGUGCCAGCUCAGCCACAGUAGAAUAGAGCAACAGAUAGAUUCCUAAGGUUCUAGACUCCAGGCCCUGGCUCCUGCUUGGCAUCUCUAGAUCCACCUGGAACCAAGGAACUCACCUCCCUGAAGAAAAGAAUACAAGCCUGCCCGGCUUCAUCACCUGCUCACUGUGGAGCCCUAGGGCCUUGAGUGAACAUCACUGGUGGUAACAUGGAGGGAGAGACUGUUUGAGAGAAAGUAAGGGAAGACAACAAGAGCCUUUGCCUGGUAAUCCAGAGAAUUCUUCCAAAUCUUAUCCAAGACCACCAAGACAAUACUUCUACAAGUCUGCAAGAACCAGAGCAUUACUGGGCUUUGAGUCCCCACUAAUGCAGAUACAGAUGCAGUGACUAAAAACUUAGAUUACAACAUUCAAGUGCUUUCAAAUACUUGGAAAGCCUUCCCAAGAAGGACAGGUGCAAACAAGCCUAGACUGUGAAGAUUACAAUAAAUACCAAAUUCUUCAAUGCCCAGACCCGAUGAAUGUCCACAAGCAUCAAGACCAUCCAGGAAAACAAAACCUCAUCAAAGGAACUAAAUAAAGCACCAGUAAAGAAUCCUAGAGAGACAGAGAUAUGUGACCUUUCAGACAGAGAAUUCAAAAUAGCUAUUUUGAGGAAGCUCAAUGAAAUUCAAGAUAACACAGAGG
This 2322-nucleotide long non-coding RNA is filed under the name Homo sapiens (human). RNAcentral describes it as "long non-coding RNA NONHSAT204217". Lineage: Eukaryota; Metazoa; Chordata; Mammalia; Primates; Hominidae. The record is from RNAcentral.